UACGAAGGGGGCUAGCGUUGUUCGGAAUUACUGGGCGUAAAGCGCGCGCAGGCGGCUAUCCAAGUCAGUGGUGAAAGCCCGGAGCCCAACUCCGGAACUGCCAUUGAAACUGUUUAGCUUGAGGAUGAGAGAGGUGAGUGGAAUUCCCAGUGUAGAGGUGAAAUUCGUAGAUAUUGGGAGGAACACCGGUGGCGAAGGCGGCUCACUGGCUCAUUACUGACGCUCAGGCGCGAUAGCGUGGGGAUCAAACAGG
This 253-nucleotide ribosomal RNA is filed under the name uncultured bacterium. RNAcentral describes it as "partial 16S ribosomal RNA". It matches the Rfam family "Bacterial small subunit ribosomal RNA", at positions 524 to 776 of the family's 1533-position model. The record is from RNAcentral.